ACGGGUGAGUAAUAUAUCGGAACAUACCCUAGAGUGGGGGAUAACGUAGCGAAAGUUACGCUAAUACCGCAUACGCACUAAGGUGGAAAGCGGGGGAUCGCAAGACCUCGUGCUCCUGGAGUGGCCGAUAUCUGAUUAGCUAGUUGGUAGGGUAAAAGCCUACCAAGGCGACGAUCAGUAGCUGGUUUGAGAGAACGACCAGCCACACUGGAACUGAGACACGGUCCAGACUCCUACGGGAGGCAGCAGUGGGGAAUUUUGGACAAUGGGGGCAACCCUGAUCCAGCAAUGCCGCGUGAGUGAAGAAGGCCCUCGGGUUGUAAAGCUCUUUUGUCAGGGAAGAAACGGUCUACUCUAAUACAGUGGGCUAAUGACGGUACCUGAAGAAUAAGCACCGGCUAACUACGUGCCAGCAGCCGCGGUAAUACGUAGGGUGCAAGCGUUAAUCGGAAUUACUGGGCGUAAAGCGUGCGCAGGCGGUUUUAUAAGUCUGAUGUGAAAUCCCCGGGCUCAACCUGGGAACUGCAUUGAAGACUGUAAGGCUAGAGUGUGUCAGAGGGGGGUAGAAUUCCACGUGUAGCAGUG
Molecule: ribosomal RNA, 585 nt
Filed under: uncultured Undibacterium sp.
Lineage: Bacteria; Pseudomonadati; Pseudomonadota; Betaproteobacteria; Burkholderiales; Oxalobacteraceae
Description: bacterial SSU rRNA
Rfam family: Bacterial small subunit ribosomal RNA
Source: RNAcentral